RNAcentral lists this ribosomal RNA (1343 nucleotides) under uncultured bacterium. Its description in RNAcentral is "16S ribosomal RNA". It matches the Rfam family "Bacterial small subunit ribosomal RNA", at positions 28 to 1378 of the family's 1533-position model. The record is from RNAcentral.
GACGAACGCUGGCGGCGUGCUUAACACAUGCAAGUCGAACGGAAAGGCCCUGCUUUUGUGGGGUGCUCGAGUGGCGAACGGGUGAGUAACACGUGAGUAACCUGCCCUUGACUUUGGGAUAACUUCAGGAAACUGGGGCUAAUACCGGAUAGGAGCUCCUGCUGCAUGGUGGGGGUUGGAAAGUUUCGGCGGUUGGGGAUGGACUCGCGGCUUAUCAGCUUGUUGGUGGGGUAGUGGCUUACCAAGGCUUUGACGGGUAGCCGGCCUGAGAGGGUGACCGGCCACAUUGGGACUGAGAUACGGCCCAGACUCCUAUGGGAGGCAGCAGUGGGGAAUAUUGCACAAUGGGCGGAAGCCUGAUGCAGCAACGCCGCGUGCGGGAUGACGGCCUUCGGGUUGUAAACCGCUUUCGCCUGUGACGAAGCGUGAGUGACGGUAAUGGGUAAAGAAGCACCGGCUAACUACGUGCCAGCAGCCGCGGUGAUACGUAGGGUGCGAGCGUUGUCCGGAUUUAUUGGGCGUAAAGGGCUCGUAGGUGGUUGAUCGCGUCGGAAGUGUAAUCUUGGGGCUUAACCCUGAGCGUGCUUUCGAUACGGGUUGACUUGAGGAAGGUAGGGGAGAAUGGAAUUCCUGGUGGAGCGGUGGAAUGCGCAGAUAUCAGGAGGAACACCAGUGGCGAAGGCGGUUCUCUGGGCCUUUCCUGAUGCUGAGGAGCGAAAGCGUGGGGAGCGAACAGGCUUAGAUACCCUGGUAGUCCACGCUGUAAACGGUGGGUACUAGGUGUGGGGUCCAUUCCACGGGUUCCGUGCCGUAGCUAACGCUUUAAGUACCCCGCCUGGGGAGUACGGCCGCAAGGCUAAAACUCAAAGGAAUUGACGGGGCCCCGCACAAGCGGCGGAGCAUGCGGAUUAAUUCGAUGCAACGCGUAGAACCUUACCUGGGUUUGACAUGGAUCGGGAGUGCUCAGAGAUGGGUGUGCCUCUUUUGGGGUCGGUUCACAGGUGGUGCAUGGCUGUCGUCAGCUCGUGUCGUGAGAUGUUGGGUUAAGUCCCGCAACGAGCGCAACCCUUGUUCACUGUUGCCAGCACGUUAUGGUGGGGACUCAGUGGAGACCGCCGGGGUCAACUCGGAGGAAGGUGGGGAUGACGUCAAGUCAUCAUGCCCCUUAUGUCCAGGGCUUCACGCAUGCUACAAUGGCUGGUACAGAGAGUGGCGAGCCUGUGAGGGUGAGCGAAUCUCGGAAAGCCGGUCUCAGUUCGGAUUGGGGUCUGCAACUCGACCUCAUGAAGUCGGAGUCGCUAGUAAUCGCAGAUCAGCAACGCUGCGGUGAAUACGUUCCCGGG